RNAcentral lists this ribosomal RNA (424 nucleotides) under uncultured bacterium. RNAcentral describes it as "partial 16S ribosomal RNA". It matches the Rfam family "Bacterial small subunit ribosomal RNA", at positions 354 to 795 of the family's 1533-position model. The record is from RNAcentral.
GUGGGGAAUCUUGCGCAAUGGGCGAAAGCCUGACGCAGCCAUGCCGCGUGAAUGAUGAAGGUCUUAGGAUUGUAAAAUUCUUUCACCGGGGACGAUAAUGACGGUACCCGGAGAAGAAGCCCCGGCUAACUUCGUGCCAGCAGCCGCGGUAAUACGAAGGGGGCUAGCGUUGCUCGGAAUUACUGGGCGUAAAGGGCGCGUAGGCGGAUCGUUAAGUCAGGGGUGAAAUCCCAGAGCUCAACUCUGGAACUGCCCUUGAUACUGGCGAUCUUGAGUGUGAGAGAGGUAUGUGGAACUCCGAGUGUAGAGGUGAAAUUCGUAGAUAUUCGGAAGAACACCAGUGGCGAAGGCGACAUACUGGCUCAUUACUGACGCUGAGGCGCGAAAGCGUGGGGAGCAAACAGGAUUAGAAACCCCUGUAUCC